UCUCACUCAAAAAUAGGCACU
Molecule: non-coding RNA, 21 nt
Filed under: Caenorhabditis elegans
Lineage: Eukaryota; Metazoa; Nematoda; Chromadorea; Rhabditida; Rhabditidae
Source: RNAcentral